Molecule: ribosomal RNA, 388 nt
Filed under: uncultured bacterium
Lineage: Bacteria
Description: partial 16S ribosomal RNA
Rfam family: Bacterial small subunit ribosomal RNA
Source: RNAcentral
AUACGGAGGAUCCAAGCGUUAUCCGGAUUUAUUGGGCGUAAAGAGUGAGCGGGCGGUUAAUUAAGUCUGAGGUUAAAGCGUGGGGCUCAACCCCAUAAAGCCUUGGAAACUGAUUGACUAGAGUACGGGAGAAGUGAAGGGAACUCCAUGUGUAGCGGGGAAAUGCGUAGAUAUAUGGAAGAACACCAGUGGCGAAGGCGCUUCACGAGCCCGAAACUAACGCUAAGUCUCGAAAGAGUGGGUAGUAAAUAGCACUAGAUACUCUAGGAAUCCGCGCUAGAAACGAUGAUAAUUAAAUAUUGCGGCGGGGCGGUGGAAAAGCUAACGGAUUAAGUUGUCCGCGUGGGGAGUACGGUCGCAAGAUUGAAACUUAAAGUAAUUUACGUGG